UUUGAUGACUAAUGGGCAGUUAGCUUAUACAAAGGGAUGAUUCAUGACCUGGGUGAGAUGGAACAGCAUGUCUUAAUAUUUCAUCAUACUCCUUAGAAUGACACCUUAUUUAGAACUUAUGAUUUAUAUAUUUCUGGAAUUCCCCAUUUAAUAUUUUUGGACUAUGGUUGACCAAGAGUAACUGAAAUUACAGAAAUCAAAACCAUGGAUAUUAUAUUUUGAAAUAUAUGUUUGGUCUUCAACACUGUUUUGUGGCAUACAACUCAUAAAAUGUUUAGUAUCUCCAAAGUGAUGUCUUUGUAUGCUAAUAAUUGAGUGAUGGCUGGCAGUCCCUAGGUAGCUUCAGGAUAGGAGCUGGUCACAAAAAAGAACAAGGCAUGAUUAGGGUGUUGGGACUUUCAGCUCCACCACUCAACCUCCUAGAGGUGAGAGGAGUUGAAGGUUAUAUCGAUUACCAAUGGCCACAGACUUUUUCAUUCAUGCCUAUGUAGUAAAGCUGUUUAAGAACCCAGAAGGACUGGGAUCAGAGACCUGCCAGAAAGCUGAAUGUAUGGAAGUGUUUGGAGGCAGAUGUGCCCUGGGAGGGCAUGGAAGCUCCAUGUUCCUUCCCCUAUAACUUGCCGUAUGCAUCUCUUCAUGUGUCUCCUUUAUAAUACCCUUUAUAAUAAACUGUGGAUGUGAGUUCUGUAGAGUCUAUAUUCAGUCCUUUUGGCAAACCGACUACUGAAAAUUCACAGCCUACAAAACUUGAGGAAGACUUUAGUCUUGCUACCAAGGUAAAAUGGUCUUUUGUGAAGUUGAUUUUCUCAGUUGGAAUCUAGUUCUGUAUAGUAUUUACUUUUCAUGUUUUGCAGU
Chlorocebus sabaeus (green monkey) is the source of this 855-nucleotide non-coding RNA. Lineage: Eukaryota; Metazoa; Chordata; Mammalia; Primates; Cercopithecidae. The record is from RefSeq and is a predicted model, not a curated record.